ACAACAGGUGGAGCCUGCGGUUAAUCGGACUCAACGCCGGGAAACUCACCAGAUAAGACAGCUGAAUGAUAGUCGGGCUGAAGACUCUACUUGACUAGCUGAGAGGAGGUGCAUGGCCGUCGUCAGUUCGUACUGUGAAGCAUCCUGUUAAGUCAGGCAACGAGCGAGACCCACGCCAACAGUUGCCAGCUCGUCCGUCCGGGAUGGGUGGGGACACUGUUGGGACCGCCUCUGCUAAAGAGGAGGAAGGAAUGGGCAACGGUAGGUCAGCAUGCCCCGAAUUAUCUGGGCUACACGCGGGCUACAAUGGGUGGGACAAUGGGUAUCGACACCGAAAGGUGAAGGCAAUCUCCUAAACCCAUCCGUAGUUCGGAUUGUGGGCUGCAACUCGCCCACAUGAAGCUGGAAUCUGUAGUAAUCGCGUUUCAACAGAACGCGGUGAAUACGUCCCUGCUCCUU
RNAcentral lists this ribosomal RNA (459 nucleotides) under uncultured Methanomicrobiales archaeon. Its description in RNAcentral is "bacterial SSU rRNA". It matches the Rfam family "Archaeal small subunit ribosomal RNA", at positions 881 to 1338 of the family's 1478-position model. The record is from RNAcentral. Lineage: Archaea; Methanobacteriati; Methanobacteriota; Methanomicrobia; Methanomicrobiales.